This is a long non-coding RNA of Syngnathus typhle (broad-nosed pipefish), 3070 nucleotides long. RefSeq lists it as uncharacterized. The transcript has 3 exons. Lineage: Eukaryota; Metazoa; Chordata; Actinopteri; Syngnathiformes; Syngnathidae. The record is from RefSeq and is a predicted model, not a curated record.
CUAAUGCAACUGAAGCUGAAAUAGUGACAAAAAUAUUACACGGUACUUAUUCAUAGUAGCUAGGGAAUUACAGUACUUUGGCGAUAGAAAGUAGUUUAUUUUGUGAAGUGGGAAAAUAAUUUGUCAUUUGUUUGUAAAACCUAAAACUUUAAUCACUCGCUGUCUUUUUUUAAUUACUGAGCAUUCCUUGCAGUUUGUCAACAUGCACUUUAUACAUUCAUGAGUCAAAAUAGAAUUUAAACAGAAAUAAAACGAUUAAGAGCUCUAUAAGGAGAACCAAUGCUUCUGCUCCGCCAUCUAUGUAGAUACAAGUGAUCCUCUCCAAGUAGCAUGGCACUGAAAACUGUAAUGUUGGACAAAUGUACUCAGAAGUCUCCACAGUGGUUCCUGAUAAGGCUGUGAGUCUGCCAACUUCACUUCUUUUCUGUGAUUUACAGUGCGUAAUCUUUUUCUUUCACCACCAUCGUCCUAUUACAAAAGCAUAACUGUUCCUUUGAUAAUAAUUGACAACUUCAUCUUUAAAUUAUAAGGUGCAGUAAGACUAAGUUUCUUUUUUCUUAUUCUUGCUACCAAGUUUUCUUCGGCUUCAAUCUAACCUUCAAUUGCCAGGUGGGUUUAUUGUAAUGAUAGGCUGCCGUAUGUUUUCACGUCUACAGCUUAUUAGAUGGAAUAUUACUUCUGAAGCAAUAAAUGGGAGGCAGUGCUCGUGUGUACUUUACUCUUUGUCUUUAUUUUUUUUCAUUACACUCAGGACGUAUUAACAAGCUUAUUUUUUUAUCCUCACAGGCGCGAGUUUAAUUACAUUUGGAGAAACAUCACCAUCAGCUAUGGAGGGGAAUAUGUAAUGAGGGCUUUUUUGAUUAAAACUAAAGUUUCUGUUUUGAUUCGAGUUUUUCUUUUUUUUUAUUAGUUAAUAUCUGGUUUCUGACUGGAGGUUGCAAUGCAUUUUUCAAUAACCUCAUAUUCAUAUAGAAGGUUAAGCUAUCCAAAUCCAGGAUGGUGAAUAUUUAGCAAGCAAAAUGUCAUGCAGAGACAUGGCAUUAACCAUUUGAUAUUGAAGCAGUCAUUAUGCAAGUUAUCAACAUCGAACAAUUCUCUCAUAUUGGAACCUCUGGACAUGUGACUAAAUAUGUUUUUAGUGCAUUUUACCUCCUACUUAUAUUGACAGUACACAAUUUCUUUGAGUAGCCAUAUAAUCAGACUAUAUACACAUAAAAAAAAAGGCCCAAUUCAAAUUAAAUUGGGACAUUGUGUAAAAGCUAAUUAAAACAAUACAAUGGUUUGCAAAUCCUUUUGAACCUUUACGUAUUUAAUUAAGACAUGAUAUUUUAUGGUCAAACUGAAGAACAAGUUGUCUAAAUUUGCAUUUGAUCCCUGUAAAACAUUCGGAAUACGCUGGGACAGGGGCAACAAAAGACUGAGAAUGUCGAGGAACCUGUUUGGAACAUUCCACAGGUGAACAGGUUCAUUGGUAACAGGUGCAGGUUUUGAUUCUGACUGUAAAAGUAGCAUACCCCAAAGGCUCAGUUGUUCAUGAGCAAGGAUGAGGCGAGGUUCACAUGCAUCAUUAUCAUGAUUGGUUAAGCCAUCAUUAUUUUUAGCAAUAAUAGCGCAACAUAAAAGACUAACUCACUUAGAGGACAAUGUAUAGAUAGGCAAUUCUUCUAACCAAAACCUCUGCUCUAUAGUCACACUAUUGGGUUUGUUGUCUUGGCUUUGGUCAUAUCUCCCUGAAAGAAAUAGGUUCAAGAACUUCGUGAAACCAUCUGUACCAGACAGAUGUGGUCAGAAAGUUAUUCACGGAGAUUCCCUGCAUGUGCGAUCCAUUUGGAAAUCUGCUCUCUAUUUGUAGAUGUGCCUUUCCUGUCUUCGUCUGUUUGACGGAGUCAGUAGCACCACAGCAGGAUGUGAAAUAGUGCUGGAGGCAGGGUGCCAGGCACAAGCAGCUGGGAAGGCCUCCCUCUCUUCUCCUGUCAUCAAUAAAUGAUCAUAGGCCAUGUGGAGGGAGGGAACCAUCAACCAGCAAGACCCGGAAAACAACUACCGAUGCAUCUAAGAAAGAGCGAUAUCGUGAGGAAAAAAGUAAAGACAGAGCAGAAGAGGGAAUCUAAAAUAACGUGAGCGUAGAAAUUGGUUGAUAUGGGGCAUAUAUAGAAUGACAUAUGUUGCUCAGUCAUCACAAAACUAACAGAAAAUGCAGUAUUUAUUGGCCCAACAAUAACUUUGGGCCUGAAUACAAAUUUACAAUGCCUAAAAUGUAAACUAAAUACAACACGUCAAAGCUACAAGAAUUUUGGUUUUUUGAUUUCUGAUAUGGUGACAAAUCUAACAUCCUGUACAUAGUCACAACACGAUGUUUAAUGACUGAUUUAUUUAAAUGUAUGGAACCAAUGGGUUAAAUUCAAAGGGUUUUGUCGGUCUUCACACACAGUAUGCAUGCACACAUAUAUAGGAAUGAUGAAUAGUUCAUUCCUCUGCCUUAAGACUGGUCAAUACAAAGACAGCCGUCUAUCCGCUGGGUAAGAGCGGCAUAUAAUUGAAUCCUCUGUGGCUACUUAACCUGUCAUUGCUGCUGUGCACCAUGUGGGAGGAAUAGUUUCACCUUGUACUCACAUAUGGGUUCCUGUCACAGAGAGUCUGACUUGUAAAAUGUCUGAUCCAGCAGUUCACCCAGAGGCGCAUCAGAGGCUCAAGUCUUACAAAGGAUGUUCAGGGCAAUUCAAUUCUCUGAAUAAGAUUUUUGAAAUAAUUUAUCUUAACAUUACAGAUUCCACACAAGCUGGCCUCCAGGUUAGGUUUUUAAUUGAGGGCAUUAUAAGACGAUUGCCAUUGGUAAAACGACACCCUUAAAAAUCCUGGAUUAAAAACAACCUCAUUGGGGUUAAAAAAAAUGGGUUGUUUUGUACAAAACAACCCAUUGUACGCACAAUCCAAUAAAAUGUUUUUAUUUGGCCAAACAACCAAAGGUUUGGGCAAAUUAACCCAACUUCCCAUGUAGGUCCGAUUUUUAACUCAGCACUUUCAACAAGAAGAAUCGAAUACAAAACCUUUCAGUAAAAGGUAAAACAUA